RNAcentral lists this ribosomal RNA (381 nucleotides) under uncultured bacterium. RNAcentral describes it as "bacterial SSU rRNA". It matches the Rfam family "Bacterial small subunit ribosomal RNA", at positions 524 to 905 of the family's 1533-position model. The record is from RNAcentral.
UACGAAGGGGGCUAGCGUUGCUCGGAAUUACUGGGCGUAAAGGGCGCGUAGGCGGAUCGUUAAGUCAGAGGUGAGAUCCCAGGGCUCAACCCUGGAACUGCCUUUGAUACUGGCGAUCUUGAGUAUGAGAGAGGUAUGUGGAACUCCGAGUGUAGAGGUGAAAUUCGUAGAUAUUCGGAAGAACACCAGUGGCGAAGGCGACAUACUGGCUCAUUACUGACGCUGAGGCGCGAAAGCGUGGGGGAGCAAACAGGAUUAGAUACCCUGGUAGUCCACGCCGUAAACGAUGAUUGCUAGUUGUCGGGCUGCAUGCAGUUCGGUGACGCAGCUAACGCAUUAAGCAAUCCGCCUGGGGAUACGGUCGCAAGAUUAAAACUCAAA